GGCCUCGCCGUUGUCGUUCCCGUAUCUGCCCUCACCCGAAACCUAAUGUGCACGCAAUCUUCGUGUCGCUUCUUCCUUGUGUUCCAUGUCGGCGGCUAGGCCCUCUGGUCCGGCUGUCCCUGGUUUUCUCUACCGCCAACGCCUCAAUUCUGCCCCUCCCCCACACAUCCCUCCCUCUCACGACCGUCACAGCCAUCAUCGCGGUGUCAGUCAACUCCUGCCCCGACCUCCAUCAUGUAUUUGUAGAAGAUGGUGACGCGUGAUGAGUGGCUCAAGGUCCGCAAGGAGGGGAUGAAAUUCCUCAUCACGUUGGACUUCAUCGACGCCGCGGACAGGGUCUCCAUCCGGUACCCAACGUGAAGUAUGCCCAUGCCUACACGCUGACAUAUAUCCCCUCUCACACAUGCGUUUCUCCUAGAGUAGUACUGCUGCGGACAUUUGGCUCUAACUGAAGUGUGAUUUAUGUGGUUUUGUUUGCAGCGGACAUUGGGUUCAGAUUUCAGACGGAGAACUUUAGGAGACUAUCGACAGGACCAACGAUCUUAACCCCACUGUUCGGUUCUGAUUCUGUUUCUCCUAAUUUUGGUUUGUAUUUCGGUGUUUUGUUAUAGAAAAAGUCGAUGGAGGAGGAGUAAUAUCUUACAAUUUUGGCUAACUUUGUUGUACGCCAACAUAAUUUUUCUUUGUAUCUGAAAAUUUCAGGGAGAACACAGAAGCAUUCGCGCCUCAUGAUUUCUGCAUCAUACUUAACGAACUUCAAAUUACUGAUCUUUGUAAUCAAUCUUUU
RNAcentral lists this long non-coding RNA (787 nucleotides) under Triticum aestivum (bread wheat). Its description in RNAcentral is "long non-coding RNA (TAES_LNC016503)". The record is from RNAcentral. Lineage: Eukaryota; Viridiplantae; Streptophyta; Magnoliopsida; Poales; Poaceae.